This 141-nucleotide small nucleolar RNA is filed under the name Moschus moschiferus (Siberian musk deer). RNAcentral's name for it is "Small nucleolar RNA SNORA79 (ENSMMSG00000003535.1)". It matches the Rfam family "Small nucleolar RNA SNORA79". Rfam says of the family: ACA65 (SNORA79) is a member of the H/ACA class of snoRNAs that guide the sites of modification of uridines to pseudouridines. This snoRNA was identified by computational screening and its expression in mouse experimentally verified by Northern blot and primer extension analysis. The record is from Rfam by way of RNAcentral. Lineage: Eukaryota; Metazoa; Chordata; Mammalia; Artiodactyla; Moschidae.
UCAUGGCUGUUCCUCUCACUGCAUGGAGUCUUAGGUGGUGGGAUCAUCAUAUAUCUAAGCUGAUAUGUCUUCCCUCAGGGCACCAUGAGGAUGGCUUGGCUGUUUUCUAGUGCCUUCUGAUUUUUGUGGAGUCACACAGUU